Molecule: ribosomal RNA, 487 nt
Filed under: uncultured Methanosaeta sp.
Lineage: Archaea; Methanobacteriati; Methanobacteriota; Methanomicrobia; Methanotrichales; Methanotrichaceae
Description: bacterial SSU rRNA
Rfam family: Archaeal small subunit ribosomal RNA
Source: RNAcentral
AAACUCAAAUGAAUUGACGGGGGAGCACCACAACGGGUGGAGCUUGCGGUUUAAUUGGAUUCAACGCCGGAAAUCUUACCGGGACCGACAGCAAUAUGAAGGCCAGGCUGAAGACUUUGCCGGAUUAGCUGAGAGGUGGUGCAUGGCCGUCGUCAGUUCGUACUGUGAAGCAUCCUGUUAAGUCAGGCAACGAGCGAGACCCACGUCCACAGUUGCCAGCAUACCCUCCGGGGUGAUGGGUACACUGUGGAGACCGCCGCUGCUAAAGCGGAGGAAGGAAUGGGCAACGGUAGGUCAGUAUGCCCCGAAUCUCCCGGGCUACACGCGGGCUACAAUGGUUGGUACAAUGGGCAUCUACCCCGAAAGGGGAAGGAAAUCUCUUAAAGCCAAUCGUAGUUCGGAUUGAGGGCUGCAACUCGCCCUCAUGAAGCUGGAAUCCGUAGUAAUCGCGUUUCAACAGAACGCGGUGAAUACGUCCCUGCUCCUU